This 498-nucleotide ribosomal RNA is filed under the name uncultured bacterium. Its description in RNAcentral is "partial 16S ribosomal RNA". It matches the Rfam family "Bacterial small subunit ribosomal RNA", at positions 28 to 507 of the family's 1533-position model. The record is from RNAcentral.
GACGAACGCUGGCGGCGUGCCUAAUACAUGCAAGUCGAACGAGAGCGACCGGUGCUUGCACUGGUCAAUCUAGUGGCGAACGGGUGAGUAACACGUGGGUAACCUGCCCAUCAGAGGGGGAUAACAUCCGGAAACGGAUGCUAAAGCCGCAUAGGUCUUCGAACCGCAUGGUUUGAAGAGGAAAAGAGGCGCAAGCUUCUGCUGAUGGAUGGACCCGCGGUGCAUUAGCUAGUUGGUGAGGUAACGGCUCACCAAGGCCGUGAUGCAUAGCCGACCUGAGAGGGUGAUCGGCCACAUUGGGACUGAGACACGGCCCAAACUCCUACGGGAGGCAGCAGUAGGGAAUCUUCCGCAAUGGACGCAAGUCUGACGGAGCAACGCCGCGUGAGUGAAGAAGGUUUUCGGAUCGUAAAACUCUGUUGUUAGAGAAGAACAAGUGCUAGAGUAACUGUUAGCGCCUUGACGGUAUCUAACCAGAAAGCCACGGCUAACUACGUG